This 319-nucleotide ribosomal RNA is filed under the name uncultured bacterium. RNAcentral describes it as "bacterial SSU rRNA". It matches the Rfam family "Bacterial small subunit ribosomal RNA", at positions 521 to 896 of the family's 1533-position model. The record is from RNAcentral.
UAAUACGUAGGGUGCAGGCGUUAAUCGGAAUUACUGGGCGUAAAGCGUGCGCAGGCGGUCUGCUAAGAGAGAUGUGAAAUCCCCGGGCUUAACCUGGGAACUGCGUUUCUAACUGGCAGGCUUGAGUGUGGCAGAGGGGGGUGGAAUUCCACGUGUAGCAGUGAAAUGCGUAGAGAUGUGGAGGAACACCGAUGGCGAAGGCAGCCCCCUGGGCUAACACUGACGCUCAUGCACGAAAGCGUGGGGAGCAAACAGGAUUAGAUACCCUGGUAGUCCACGCCCUAAACUAUGUCAACUGGGAAGUACGAUCGCAAGAUUG